UCGAAACCUGCCCAGCAGAGCGNCCCGUGAACACGUUCAACCUCGUGGGUGUUGGGGCGUCGCUCGGUGCCUCGUGUGCCGGCCCGUCCCUCUCCCAAGCCGGGGGAACGCUCACUUGUGGGCUGUUUCCCCGGCAAAACAACGAACCCCGGCGCGUAAUGCGUCAAGGAAUACAAACACUAUGUGUGUACCCUCCCGUCGCCCGGUUAGCCGGGCGUUGGAGCGGUGCCAUGUCUUAACAAUA
Molecule: ribosomal RNA, 244 nt
Filed under: Silene viscosa
Lineage: Eukaryota; Viridiplantae; Streptophyta; Magnoliopsida; Caryophyllales; Caryophyllaceae
Source: RNAcentral